Molecule: long non-coding RNA, 258 nt
Organism: Dicentrarchus labrax (European seabass)
Lineage: Eukaryota; Metazoa; Chordata; Actinopteri; Moronidae
Exons: 3
Source: RefSeq, a predicted model, not a curated record
AUUCUCACAGUGCCGCUCCGAUCAGAGGUGCAUUUCCUGAAGGAGGGUUGCGGCAGCGACAAUGUUUGCCGAAGCAACAUGCAGGUGAAAUACCGCUACGGUUACAAGGCAACUGACAAAGACACGUUCACUCCGUUAGAAUUGGAGAACGGUGUGCCGGUGAUCUCGCUCAGCGACCAGAAGGACAUCGCAUUGGAGGUCACUGUGACCAAUCUAAAUGGAGAUGAUGCAUACGAAGCCUCUGUGAUUGCCUCCUUC